Long non-coding RNA from Sceloporus undulatus (fence lizard), 1451 nucleotides. RefSeq lists it as uncharacterized. NCBI's taxonomy places the organism in Eukaryota, Metazoa, Chordata, Lepidosauria, Squamata, Phrynosomatidae. The record is from RefSeq and is a predicted model, not a curated record. The transcript is spliced from 6 exons.
AUCAUGUUCUUCCAGAUGUUUUUGGAUGCCAACUCUCACAGUCCUUGAUGACAGCCCAUGGUGAAGAAUACUGGGAGCUACAGUCCAAUCACAUCUGGAGGGCCAUGAUUCCACCUCUGGCCUGUAUCAGUAUAAAUUGUUGCAGUAGAGAUAGUCAUACAUCUGACUUGUAAUUUUGCAGUAGCUGGAAGCCAAAUGUCAGAGUUUUCAGACUGAGAUUUCAAUUUCCAACUAAAUUUUAGGGACAUUUUCAUGUGAAGUUGAAAAGCUCUAGUGAUGAUUCUUUGUUUUAUCUACUAAGUAACUCAGUUGCAAUCUUACUGAUGUCUAUUGAAAAAGUAAACCCUAUUACAUUUAAUAAGGCUUAUUACCAUAUGAAUGUGUGUAUGGGAUUGCAGUUUAAAUUGAUGACUGACAGUUUUAUCACUUUGAAAUCACCAGGUCAAGAAAGCAAACUGGGACUUUUAUUGUUUACACAUGAAUCUAAUAAAUUAGUCCGUUUUGCCUAUUUAAAAAGCAUCCUGUUGUGGAGUAGCUAAGCUGAUACGCAGCACAGGUUCUCUUUUAUUGGUGAAACCUCAGAGCAAGGCACCCAGUUUAUGUCCUCAUAAUCCUUAAUCCUGUUUCCUUUCUGUGGUGAUUUUCAGAAAAUCAAACCAGUCAUUUAAGCAGUAUUUAAAAAAACAUUGCAGAGGGAAAAUGAAACAAGGAAAUGAAAUCCUUCCAAGCUGCAUGCUCUGAAUUCAUUGUGUGAUUAUCACAUCUAUUUAUCAGACUUUUCAAAUAGACAUUAAAAACAUGCUGCCAUUUCUUGGGUUUUCCCUCUCUAAAUCCUUUCAGCUCAGCCAUAGUUAAGGGUGCAUAACUUGGGUAUUUCCUUAUGACUCAUAGUUAUGGGCAGUGUUUUGAGGACUGAUGAAACAAGGCACUCUGCAUAUACAGCAUUAAAUGAAGCAAUCCUGUUUUCAGGCAUUCUACAAUAUCGUGGUUUAGUUAGACAUUGCUGAUUUUUCAGCAUCGCAAUCACCCAGUGCCUGGUGUCAGAAUCAUAGAUGUAUGGUAAACUACCAGCAGGAUCCAGUGAAGGUUUAUUUUGAAGAGAGUCCUAUUGAUUUCAGUGGAUCAUCUUUCUGUAUCAGGUUGAAAUAACAAGCAAAAUGGAUUCUCCAAGAACGAACAUUAUAGGAAAUUAUGCUUAUGAAGAAGUCUGCAAGCAUGGUUUCUUCAUAAAAUCACCUCCAGUCCAUCUUUUCACUAAUCAGACUUCCUGGAAAAAGAGAUACUUUAUCCUUUCCAAGACGAUCAAAAAUGGUUAUGUCCUGAGGUAUCUUAAAGGCCAACAACUAAAGGGCUAUAUUGAAAUUAAUGAGUGACAGUGAGAAAAUGGCAGUGGUGAAGAAGAUGUUUAAAUGCCAGCCCACAGAAGUCAUGACCAUCAGACAGAGAACAGG